UGAGGCGUUGCAGGAGGCGACAGCAGGGAGGUGCAGGGCUUUUAUCAGCGCCUCACAUGCGUCUCUGAGUGUUUGUUUUUAAUCGCUGCAGAGGAAACGCUCAGCCUUCCUGUUUAGCAGCGCUUCUCACCAACAUGUCUCCUUUCUUCUCUCUGGUCCUUCUGGGUUUGUGCCGCUGCAGCAGACAGAGCACAGGUCAGAUGUUGCUGGACUAUCCUCGACUCCUCGGCCCCUCAGAGGCCCUGGUGAAGGACGUCGUUGAAUUUCUGUGUGAAAUUUCGAAUCCAAACAAUCAGUCCAUCCUGCUGAGAUUAUUCAAGCAGGGAGACCGUCAGAAGGUGCUGGGAGUCUCCAGCCUCCUGAAGGGAGGCGAGGUUGGGUAUUUUCCCAGAGUCAUCACCCCGUCAGACGAGGGGGACUUGGAGUGUGAGGCCAGCGUACAAAACAGCAGUCGGACCAUCCCCACCGUCAGCCAACCCCUCCCGUUCAGAGUCAUCGAACCAGUCGAAGGUGCAGAGGUUGUCUACUCAGGUCCAAACGAGCUCUUUGAAGGAAGGAACCUGGAGCUAAACUGUACCGUUAAAGCUGGCAAUCAUUUGUCCUUCAAGUGGCGGCACAACGCACGACUCGUCUCUCCGAGUCUCUUCCAUCGGAUUAAAGACGAUCAUCUUCUGAUCUACAGAGCCACUUCUAAAGACAGCGGCGCCUACAGGUGUGAGGUCACCAACAGGUUCAACGAGACAAAAGUCUUCUCCUCCAACAGCUCUGAAGUGGUGAUCACAGUAAAAGACUUGGUGUCAGAACCUAGCAUCUUGGUCACGGUGUUGAAGGAAGAGGACCACAGUUACUCUGCCGUGGUCACCUGUCAGACUGACAGAGGACAUCUACCCAUCACCUUUUUACUCUACGGUACGACAGGGCUGAUCUCCAACCUGACAGCUGUGGACCGACAUGCAGCUUUUAAGGUUCCUCUGGUCUUGGACCGCCACUUGGGAUGGCUCCAGUGCCAGGCCAGCAAUGGGGACCAGACUACACACAGUCAGUGGUUGCCCUUAAAAGUUGAGAAGGUUGGCGGGCCUGUUUCCAUCCAGUCCCAGUAUGACAUGGCAGAAAACUACGCCAUCAUCGGCCUGAGGUUUUACUGCAAGGCAGCCAAAGGAACUCACCCACGUUUCCAGUGGUUCCUCAACCAAACCCUGCUGAGCCACAGAGGGAGCUUCUACUAUGUGUUCGACCAGCUGCCGGAACAGUCCAUCCUGCUCGUGUCCGUGGGACGCCGCAGCGCCGGGACGUACCACUGUGAGGUGUCAGACAGCUUUGAUAACACCACUGCUAUCAGCAGUAAGAGGCACCAUGUGGAUAAAGAAGUGCUGAACCGCCUUCCUGUCUUUGUGGUGGCAAUCGUUUUUGGAUGUUUCACACUGGACGAAGACGGUCUGGGGAGACGUCUCAGUAAGUUCCCUUUCUCACUUUGUGAAAAGAUGCCACCUUUCUGGUCUCUAGUGAGGAAAUCGUGAAGAUGGAUGUGAUCUGAAAACCAGGGGCGGAUUUAGGACUGAAGAAGAUCCGGGGCUUAACACACACACGCACGCUCACGCACACACACACACACACACACACACACACACACACGUGACACGCACUAAUCAACAUCAUAUAUAUUUGUCUUGUACCACAUAAUUUUUAAUCUGAAGCUACAUAUUAAGCAUGUUCAGGGCAGAGUAUUGUUCCUGUUAGUGUUUAGUGUGAGAUGAUAAUAAAUAUUCCCUUUUUUCUCCAACAACUUUACCUGAUAGUAAGCUAACUUUAGGCAAACCAGCAGCACAACAAAUAUUUUCAAAUAAGACUCACAAACCUGAGUCAACACCAGUCUCAUCAAAGCUGGGGUUCUGUUGUACUUUUUGUCUAAAAAACGUCCUUAUGUCCAUCUUCACUCAUGCGUUUCAGGCAGAGACUGUAGAAGCCUGCUGCUGAAGGGCUUCUUCUUCAGUGGUGGAGGCUCAGGCAGGCUGUAUACAAACUACUGCCAGCUGCUCCCUCUCUGUUGGACUUUGGUACUGCAUGUUACUUCCACAUUUUAGAUCUGGGGCUUUUCAUAAAACAUUCGGGGCUUGAGCCCAAGUAGCCGGCCUAACGCCACCCCUGAUGAAAACACACCUUUCUUCUACUCUGGAUCUGGAACCUUGUUGAUCUGAGUUCACUCAUACUUACAGUUCAGCCCGAUCGGUUAAAGCCAGUAAAACAGACGAAAGGCCGAGAUCCAACAACGUAGCCAGAGCCUCCUCAGAAUGACACAGCAGGCUGUUUUCCUUUCAGGUCAGGUCUGGCACUGGAUCACCUGGUCUCAGCACUUGGAGACGACAUGGAGUGGUGGAUAAAGAGUGAGGACCCUGAUGAGAUGAAGGCACCCAGAGACUACGAGUUUUACCAGGAAUCUGAAGCUUCCCUGGAUGAAUGGUCUUAAGCUGAGGAGAGGAAAUGUCUGGAGGAUGAAGAAGACCAAGAAACAAUUUAAAUCUGUUUGUUCAAAUAACUUCGGUGUUGGUUGGACGUUGGACAGACAUUCACUCCACGGUGGCGUGUGCAAGUGCUGCAGACAGUGUUUAGCUGAGGACUCCUCGUGAGAGCUUAGGGACCAUCAACUAAUUUAUAUUCAUUUGAAUUACUUGAUUAAAUUACUCAAAAACAGUCAACGGUCGCACUAAACCAAACGAACAAAACAAAAACAUUUACCAACACAUUUGAUCAAAUCUGAUCUUUUUAUUGUAGUUUUUAAAUAAAAAAAUAAGUUAUUUCCUAUGUUAAUUGCUCUAAAUACUCAAAAACAUUUGUUAACUAAACAAGACCAACGAGACAGCAUUUUUCAAGAUUUGAUCUUUUUUAUUUAAUUUUUUAUCAAAAAUGAAGUUUCAAUAGCUCCCAUGUUAACUGAUUUAACACCAAAACACUUUCUAAAUGAUCUUACUGGCUGGACCAAUGAGACACAGUGGUUGUUUUCACAUUUCACAACAUCUGAAAACAAAGCUAGGGGCUCUAGAAAAAGAUCCCUUCAUUUAGGAUAAAAAUCACAAUAAAAAGAUCAGAUUGUGUGAAACGUGUUAAAACUGACGUGUCUGCUAAAUGUAGUUCAGUAACAUAACUCAGUUGUUUUGGGUCAUUUAGGCGAUUAUUCUGGAAGCUCUAGACUUUGUUGUACUCGUUAACGAAGGACUACUAAUUUACUGACGGUCCCUAAGCGAAACAGCGGGCCGUCUGUGGCGCGGCGCGCGGCAUGAAGCCUUGCGCUGACCCAGUGACCUGUCCAGUCCAGCUUCAUACUAAAUUCGGUGUUCAAAAUCAAACCAAUUCUGAACUUUUCUGUUUUUAUGAAUAAAAAACAUCAAACCUGGUUCUUUAUAAGAUCUUUUACGGUCGGCAGGAGUAAAAGUUCAGCACCUGUGUGGUUUUGUUAAGCUCCGCCCAACUCCAAUUCAAAGCAUGUCGCGUUCAUCGUGUCUCGGAAAUCGGACCUUCAAGACGUUCUGCCCACAGAUAGCACCCCUCAGCCCAGGGCGGGGUCCAGUCCGGUCCAGUCC
Molecule: non-coding RNA, 3575 nt
Organism: Nothobranchius furzeri (turquoise killifish)
Lineage: Eukaryota; Metazoa; Chordata; Actinopteri; Cyprinodontiformes; Nothobranchiidae
Source: RefSeq, a predicted model, not a curated record